UACGAAGGGGGCCAGCGUUGCUCGGAAUCACUGGGCGUAAAGGGUGCGUAGGCGGGUCUUUAAGUCGGGGGUGAAAUCCUGGAGCUCAACUCCAGAACUGCCUUCGAUACUGGAAGACUUGAGUCCGGGAGAGGUGAGUGGAACUGCGAGUGUAGAGGUGAAAUUCGUAGAUAUUCGCAAGAACACCAGUGGCGAAGGCGGCUCACUGGCCCGGUACUGACGCUGAGGUGCGAAAGCGUGGGGAGCAAACAGG
Molecule: ribosomal RNA, 253 nt
Filed under: uncultured bacterium
Lineage: Bacteria
Description: partial 16S ribosomal RNA
Rfam family: Bacterial small subunit ribosomal RNA
Source: RNAcentral